Molecule: RNA transcript, 1908 nt
Organism: Populus euphratica (Euphrates poplar)
Lineage: Eukaryota; Viridiplantae; Streptophyta; Magnoliopsida; Malpighiales; Salicaceae
Gene name: mitogen-activated protein kinase kinase 5-like
Exons: 3
Source: RefSeq, a predicted model, not a curated record
CCCUGACAUCGCCCACAUUGCCCCCCGCCCCUCUCUCGGACCAAAGGAUCCCCCCUCUCCCUCUCAAAAUUCCCCAGCUCAUCAGAUCCGACUCAACUCACCGAGUCAUGAAAUCGAAUCAACCACCACCACCACAACCCCCCUCCUCCACUAAUCGUCACACCAACAACAGCAGACCGCGUCGCCGCCCUGACUUAACCCUCCCUCUCCCACAACGCGACCCUGCCCUCGCGGUCCCCCUCCCUCUCCCGCCCAACUCCGUCGGCUCAAACCCCUCUUCAUCCUCCGUCUCCUCAGCUCGAGCUCAACUCAGCUUCUCCGAGCUCGACCGAAUCAACCGAAUCGGAAGCGGCAGCGGCGGAACCGUCUACAAAGUCGUCCACCGUCCAACCGGCCGCCUCUACGCUCUCAAAGUCAUCUACGGCAACCACGAAGACUCCGUUCGCAACCAGAUCUGCCGCGAGAUCGAGAUCCUCCGCGACGUCAACCACCCCAACGUCGUUAAAUGCCACGACAUGUUCGAUCACAACGGUGAGAUCCAGGUCCUUCUAGAAUUCAUGGACAACGGUUCCUUAGAAGGGACCCACAUAAACCACGAGGCAUAUCUAUCUGACGUGGCACGGCAGAUAUUAAACGGCAUCGCCUACUUGCAUAAAAGGAAAAUUGUGCACAGAGAUAUUAAGCCAAGUAAUCUGUUAAUGAACUCUAAAAAAAAUGUGAAGAUAGCUGAUUUUGGGGUUAGCAGAAUAUUAGCACAGACGAUGGAUCCUUGCAAUAGCUCAGUAGGAACAAUUGCUUACAUGAGCCCAGAAAGGAUAAACACUGAUCUGAAUCAAGGAUUGUAUGAUGGGUAUGCAGGGGAUAUAUGGAGCUUAGGGGUUAGCAUUUUGGAGUUCUAUUUAGGGAGGUUUCCAUUUGGUGUAGGAAGACAAGGGGAUUGGGCAAGUUUAAUGUGCGCAAUUUGUAUGUCACAACCACCGGAGGCGCCGGCGAGUGCAUCAAGGGAGUUUAGGAAUUUUAUUGCUUGUUGCCUGCAGAGGGAGCCGUCGAGGAGGUGGACUGCCAAUCAGUUGUUGCAGCAUCCGUUUAUUGUGAGAAGAGGUGGAGGUGGAGAGGGGGGUGGUGGAAAUGGUACUCAUAGCUUGAUGUUGCCGCCGCCUCCUAGGCCAAUUGCUUAGUAGGGUUUUGAAGAUAUAGUUAAGAAAGAAGGUUUGAUUUUUGUUAGUGAUGAGUGGUUUAAUUUUUAAUUUUUUGCCAUUUCUGUUUUACAGUUCCAGGUGGGUGUAAAGAUUCAGAAGGAAUCGUGCAAACUUCUUUUACAGGCCAGCACACAUGGGCUAGGCUUGGCGAUGCUAGCUUCCAUGCAAGACGUUACUUACCUUAAGAAUAUAAUGAGUUGAGCACCGUUCUUUUUGUAUGCCACUGGACUUGAGUGAACUUGCCCAUAGCAAGAGCAUAAAAAAUUUCUCACAACUUUGGGGUCACUUGUUGAAUAACCACUCACCCAACAUGGUCUACACUGUCCGUAGUUUUCGGGGUAUGAAUCUGUCGAUCAAUCUGGUGGGUACUUUUCAAUGAAAAGGGCAUUUGGCAUAUAUUCUCUUCGCUUUUUGGAUCCUUGUUCCUGCAAGUGUAGCUGGUUCCUGGUGCAUGAAUGGUCUCCGUUGCUUUCUUGAGAUUUCUUCUUUAUCUUAUAAGUGCUCAAAGCAUUUAGACGACUACUAGUAGGGGCCAGCGAACGUGUUGAAUUGGCAAAGAUUUGGUGCGAUUUGUAUUCAAAGUGGAAGUGCUUUUAGCUCUUCAUUCUCUUUCUAUAUAUCCAUAAACAUGAUAAUCACAUAAAAGCAAAUCCUACAGGGCUAAAUUCUCUGUUAGGCUAAAUCUUCCCUUCGCUAUUUCACAUCAUUC